RNAcentral lists this ribosomal RNA (921 nucleotides) under uncultured bacterium. Its description in RNAcentral is "bacterial SSU rRNA". It matches the Rfam family "Bacterial small subunit ribosomal RNA", at positions 73 to 990 of the family's 1533-position model. The record is from RNAcentral.
AAGUAGCUUGCUACUGGACCUAGCGGCGGACGGGUGAGUAAUGCUUAGGAAUCUGCCUAUUAGUGGGGGACAACAUCUCGAAAGGGAUGCUAAUACCGCAUACGUCCUACGGGAGAAAGCAGGGGACCUUCGGGCCUUGCGCUAAUAGAUGAGCCUAAGUCGGAUUAGCUAGUCGGUGGGGUAAAGGCCUACCAAGGCGACGAUCUGUAGCGGGUCUGAGAGGAUGAUCCGCCACACUGGGACUGAGACACGGCCCAGACUCCUACGGGAGGCAGCAGUGGGGAAUAUUGGACAAUGGGGGGAACCCUGAUCCAGCCAUGCCGCGUGUGUGAAGAAGGCCUUUUGGUUGUAAAGCACUUUAAGCGAGGAGGAGGCUACCGAGAUUAAUACUCUUGGAUAGUGGACGUUACUCGCAGAAUAAGCACCGGCUAACUCUGUGCCAGCAGCCGCGGUAAUACAGAGGGUGCAAGCGUUAAUCGGAUUUACUGGGCGUAAAGCGCGCGUAGGUGGCCAAUUAAGUCAAAUGUGAAAUCCCCGAGCUAAACUUGGGAAUUGCAUUCGAUACUGGUUGGCUAGAGUAUGGGAGAGGAUGGUAGAAUUCCAGGUGUAGCGGUGAAAUGCGUAGAGAUCUGGAGGAAUACCGAUGGCGAAGGCAGCCAUCUGGCCUAAUACUGACACUGAGGUGCGAAAGCAUGGGGAGCAAACAGGAUUAGAUACCCUGGUAGUCCAUGCCGUAAACGAUGUCUACUAGCCGUUGGGGCCUUUGAGGCUUUAGUGGCGCAGCUAACGCGAUAGGUAGACCGCCUGGGGAGUACGGUCGCAAGACUAAAACUCAAAUGAAUUGACGGGGGCCCGCACAAGCGGUGGAGCAUGUGGUUUAAUUCGAUGCAACGCGAAGAACCUUACCUGUCUUGACAUAGU